GAUGAACGCUGGCGGCGUGCUUAACACAUGCAAGUCGAACGAUGAACCGGGUGCUUGCACUCGGGGAUUAGUGGCGAACGGGUGAGUAACACGUGAGCAACCUGCCCCUGACUCUGGGAUAAGCGCUGGAAACGGCGUCUAAUACUGGAUAUGUCCCGUCACCGCAUGGUGUGCGGGUGGAAAGAUUUUUCGGUUGGGGAUGGGCUCGCGGCCUAUCAGCUUGUUGGUGAGGUAAUGGCUCACCAAGGCGUCGACGGGUAGCCGGCCUGAGAGGGUGACCGGCCACACUGGGACUGAGACACGGCCCAGACUCCUACGGGAGGCAGCAGUGGGGAAUAUUGCACAAUGGGCGCAAGCCUGAUGCAGCGACGCCGCGUGAGGGAUGACGGCCUUCGGGUUGUAAACCUCUUUCAGCAUCGACGAAGCGAAAGUGACGGUAGGUGCAGAAGAAGGACCGGCCAACUACGUGCCAGCCGCCGCGGUAA
RNAcentral lists this ribosomal RNA (485 nucleotides) under uncultured bacterium. RNAcentral describes it as "partial 16S ribosomal RNA". It matches the Rfam family "Bacterial small subunit ribosomal RNA", at positions 28 to 523 of the family's 1533-position model. The record is from RNAcentral.